This 448-nucleotide ribosomal RNA is filed under the name uncultured bacterium. RNAcentral's name for it is "bacterial SSU rRNA". It matches the Rfam family "Bacterial small subunit ribosomal RNA", at positions 46 to 507 of the family's 1533-position model. The record is from RNAcentral.
GCUUAACACAUGCAAGUCGAACGGUGAACCAGAGCUUGCUCUGGGGAUCAGUGGCGAACGGGUGAGUAACACGUGGGCAACCUGCCCCAGACUCUGGGAUAACCUCGGGAAACCGAUGCUAAUACCGGAUACGACCACUUCGGACAUCCGACGGUGGUGGAAAGUUUUUCGGUCUGGGAUGGGCCCGCGGCCUAUCAGCUAGUUGGUGGGGUAAUGGCCUACCAAGGCGACGACGGGUAGCCGGCCUGAGAGGGCGACCGGCCACACUGGAACUGAGACACGGUCCAGACUCCUACGGGAGGCAGCAGUGGGGAAUAUUGCACAAUGGGCGAAAGCCUGAUGCAGCGACGCCGCGUGAGGGACGACGGCCUUCGGGUUGUAAACCUCUUUCAGCAGGGACGAAGCGAAAGUGACUGUACCUGCAGAAGAAGCACCGGCUAACUACGUG